CCUGGCUCACGAUGAACGCUGGCGGCGCGCCUAACACAUGCAAGUCGAACGAGCGAGAGAGAGCUUGCUUUCUCGAGCGAGUGGCGAACGGGUGAGUAACGCGUGAGGAACCUGCCUCAAAGAGGGGGACAACAGUUGGAAACGACUGCUAAUACCGCAUAAGCCCACGGCUCGGCAUCGAGCAGAGGGAAAAGGAGCAAUCCGCUUUGAGAUGGCCUCGCGUCCGAUUAGCUAGUUGGUGAGGUAACGGCCCACCAAGGCGACGAUCGGUAGCCGGACUGAGAGGUUGAACGGCCACAUUGGGACUGAGACACGGCCCAGACUCCUACGGGAGGCAGCAGUGGGGAAUAUUGCACAAUGGGGGAAACCCUGAUGCAGCGACGCCGCGUGGAGGAAGAAGGUCUUCGGAUUGUAAACUCCUGUUGUUGAGGAAGAUAAUGACGGUACUCAACAAGGAAGUGACGGCUAACUACGUGCCAGCAGCCGCGGUAAAACGUAGGUCACAAGCGUUGUCCGGAAUUACUGGGUGUAAAGGGAGCGCAGGCGGGAAGACAAGUUGGAAGUGAAAUCCAUGGGCUCAACCCAUGAACUGCUUUCAAAACUGUUUUUCUUGAGUAGUGCAGAGGUAGGCGGAAUUCCCGGUGUAGCGGUGGAAUGCGUAGAUAUCGGGAGGAACACCAGUGGCGAAGGCGGCCUACUGGGCACCAACUGACGCUGAGGCUCGAAAGUGUGGGUAGCAAACAGGAUUAGAUACCCUGGUAGUCCACACUGUAAACGAUGAUUACUAGGUGUUGGAGGAUUGACCCCUUCAGUGCCGCAGUUAACACAAUAAGUAAUCCACCUGGGGAGUACGACCGCAAGGUUGAAACUCAAAGGAAUUGACGGGGGCCCGCACAAGCAGUGGAGUAUGUGGUUUAAUUCGACGCAACGCGAAGAACCUUACCAAGUCUUGACAUCCCUUGACGAUGCUGGAAACAGUAUUUCUCUUCGGAGCAAGGAGACAGGUGGUGCAUGGUUGUCGUCAGCUCGUGUCGUGAGAUGUUGGGUUAAGUCCCGCAACGAGCGCAACCCUUAUGGUCAGUUACUACGCAAGAGGACUCUGGCCAGACUGCCGUUGACAAAACGGAGGAAGGUGGGGAUGACGUCAAAUCAUCAUGCCCUUUAUGACUUGGGCUACACACGUACUACAAUGGCGUUAAACAAAGAGAAGCAAGACCGCGAGGUGGAGCAAAACUCAGAAACAACGUCCCAGUUCGGACUGCAGGCUGCAACUCGCCUGCACGAAGUCGGAAUUGCUAGUAAUCGCAGAUCAGCAUGCUGCGGUGAAUACGUUCCCGGGCCUUGCACACACCGCCC
Molecule: ribosomal RNA, 1356 nt
Filed under: uncultured bacterium
Lineage: Bacteria
Description: bacterial SSU rRNA
Rfam family: Bacterial small subunit ribosomal RNA
Source: RNAcentral